UUUGCCAAAAGCUUAACUUACAACUAAGUUAUUUUAAGAGCAUCAUAUUUAUUUAUCAUCAGCCUACCACUAGAUGAGCACCUGUACUACAACACAUCACUUGAUUAUUACAAACAAUAUUAACCAUAUCAAAUUCAUCAUAUGUUCUUCUUGCUAUCAUCAUUAUCACGAACCAAGUUCAUUAGUGAAUGCUACGUUUGCCGCUGCUCUGUCAAGUUCUCACUAACCGGGAGAGACGGCGAUUCGAAUCGAAUUCCUAUCCAGCUGGAGGGUUAUUCCUAGCACUCACCCAAACAUCC
Molecule: long non-coding RNA, 299 nt
Filed under: Sorghum bicolor (sorghum)
Lineage: Eukaryota; Viridiplantae; Streptophyta; Magnoliopsida; Poales; Poaceae
Description: long non-coding RNA (SBIC_LNC013988)
Source: RNAcentral